CAGCGCUCAGGAACUAGAGGAGAGGUGGUUUAAAGAAGUCUUCUGAGGUCAUGUAGAGAGAGCAUUGCCUGUGUCAGGCAAUAAACAACUUGAAGAUAAAACUUUUCUUCAUAUUUCUGGUGAGCCUCAAAUCUGGCUUGGAACACAACAGGCACUGAAAUUAAAGUCACUGCAUUCUUCAUCCAAGAUCUGUUAUGUCUGUGAACAGUAAAAACCGAUGGUGAUAUUAGUUGCUGGACUCCAGGUAAAUUACUCAUAGCUGUCAUCACCAUCAUAUUCUCUGCUCCGCCCUAAACCAAACACAGAGACAAUGGUGCCAGAACAAAUUGCAAUAAAACAUCGAAUCCUCAAGCA
Molecule: long non-coding RNA, 354 nt
Organism: Bos indicus x Bos taurus (hybrid cattle)
Lineage: Eukaryota; Metazoa; Chordata; Mammalia; Artiodactyla; Bovidae
Source: Ensembl